Molecule: ribosomal RNA, 511 nt
Filed under: Bacillus sp. CH368_12T
Lineage: Bacteria; Bacillati; Bacillota; Bacilli; Caryophanales; Bacillaceae
Description: bacterial SSU rRNA
Rfam family: Bacterial small subunit ribosomal RNA
Source: RNAcentral
GCAGUCGAGCGGACGGAUGGGAGCUUGCUCCCUGAAUUAGCGGCGGACGGGUGAGUAACACGUGGGCAACCUGCCUGUAAGACUGGGAUAACUUCGGGAAACCGGAGCUAAUACCGGAUAAUGCAUUUCCCCUCAUGGGGAUAUGCUGAAAGAUGGUUUCGGCUAUCACUUACAGAUGGGCCCGCGGCGCAUUAGCUAGUUGGUGAGGUAACGGCUCACCAAGGCAACGAUGCGUAGCCGACCUGAGAGGGUGAUCGGCCACACUGGGACUGAGACACGGCCCAGACUCCUACGGGAGGCAGCAGUAGGGAAUCUUCCGCAAUGGACGAAAGUCUGACGGAGCAACGCCGCGUGAGUGAUGAAGGUUUUCGGAUCGUAAAACUCUGUUGUCAGGGAAGAACAAGUGCCGGAGUAACUGCCGGCACCUUGACGGUACCUGACCAGAAAGCCACGGCUAACUACGUGCCAGCAGCCGCGGUAAUACGUAGGUGGCAAGCGUUGUCCGGAAUUA